This 375-nucleotide ribosomal RNA is filed under the name uncultured organism. RNAcentral describes it as "partial 16S ribosomal RNA". It matches the Rfam family "Bacterial small subunit ribosomal RNA", at positions 527 to 896 of the family's 1533-position model. The record is from RNAcentral.
GUAGGGUCCGAGCGUUGUCCGGAAUUAUUGGGCGUAAAGGGCUUGUAGGCGGUCCGUCGCGUCAGAAGUGAAAACUCAGGGCUUAACCCUGAGCCUGCUUUUGAUACGGGCGGACUAGAGGGAUGCAGGGGAGAACGGAAUUCCUGGUGGAGCGGUGGAAUGCGCAGAUAUCAGGAGGAACACCGGUGGCGAAGGCGGUUCUCUGGGCAUUACCUGACGCUGAGAAGCGAAAGCGUGGGGAGCAAACAGGGCUUAGAUACCCUGGUAGUCCACGCCGUAAACGGUGGGCACUAGGUGUGGGGGACAUUCCCACGUUCUCCGUGCCCGAAGCUAACGCAUUAAGUGCCCCGCCUGGGGAGUACGGCCGCAAGGCUA